This 762-nucleotide ribosomal RNA is filed under the name Escherichia coli. RNAcentral's name for it is "partial 23S ribosomal RNA". It matches the Rfam family "Bacterial large subunit ribosomal RNA", at positions 430 to 1191 of the family's 2925-position model. The record is from RNAcentral. Lineage: Bacteria; Pseudomonadati; Pseudomonadota; Gammaproteobacteria; Enterobacterales; Enterobacteriaceae.
UAUCCUGUCUGAAUAUGGGGGGACCAUCCUCCAAGGCUAAAUACUCCUGACUGACCGAUAGUGAACCAGUACCGUGAGGGAAAGGCGAAAAGAACCCCGGCGAGGGGAGUGAAAAAGAACCUGAAACCGUGUACGUACAAGCAGUGGGAGCACAGAGCAAUCUGUGUGACUGCGUACCUUUUGUAUAAUGGGUCAGCGACUUAUAUUCUGUAGCAAGGUUAACCGAAUAGGGGAGCCGAAGGGAAACCGAGUCUUAACUGGGCGUUAAGUUGCAGGGUAUAGACCCGAAACCCGGUGAUCUAGCCAUGGGCAGGUUGAAGGUUGGGUAACACUAACUGGAGGACCGAACCGACUAAUGUUGAAAAAUUAGCGGAUGACUUGUGGCUGGGGGUGAAAGGCCAAUCAAACCGGGAGAUAGCUGGUUCUCCCCGAAAGCUAUUUAGGUAGCGCCUCGUGAAUUCAUCUCCGGGGGUAGAGCACUGUUUCGGCAAGGGGGUCAUCCCGACUUACCAACCCGAUGCAAACUGCGAAUACCGGAGAAUGUUAUCACGGGAGACACACGGCGGGUGCUAACGUCCGUCGUGAAGAGGGAAACAACCCAGACCGCCAGCUAAGGUCCCAAAGUCAUGGUUAAGUGGGAAACGAUGUGGGAAGGCCCAGACAGCCAGGAUGUUGGCUUAGAAGCAGCCAUCAUUUAAAGAAAGCGUAAUAGCUCACUGGUCGAGUCGGCCUGCGCGGAAGAUGUAACGGGGCUAAACCAUG